GGGGCUGUGAGGUAGUCUGGCUAUCCUGGCGGGCUCCAGACCCGUAUACCUGGGUUCGAAUCCCAGCAGCCCCA
This 74-nucleotide transfer RNA is filed under the name Candidatus Aenigmatarchaeota archaeon. RNAcentral describes it as "tRNA-Trp". It matches the Rfam family "tRNA". Rfam says of the family: Transfer RNA (tRNA) molecules are approximately 80 nucleotides in length. Their secondary structure includes four short double-helical elements and three loops (D, anti-codon, and T loops). The record is from RNAcentral. Lineage: Archaea; Nanobdellati; Candidatus Aenigmatarchaeota.